UACAGAGGUCCCAAGCGUUGUUCGGAUUCAUUGGGCGUAAAGGGUGCGUAGGCGGCGCGGUAAGUCGGGUGUGAAAUCUCGGAGCUUAACUCCGAAACUGCAUUCGAUACUGCCGUGCUUGAGGACUGGAGAGGAGACUGGAAUUUACGGUGUAGCGGUGAAAUGUGUAGAGAUCGGGAGGAACACCGGUGGCGAAGGCGGGUCUCUGGGCAAUUCCUGACGCUGAGGCGCGAAAGCGUGGGGAGCAAACGGG
RNAcentral lists this ribosomal RNA (253 nucleotides) under uncultured bacterium. Its description in RNAcentral is "partial 16S ribosomal RNA". It matches the Rfam family "Bacterial small subunit ribosomal RNA", at positions 524 to 776 of the family's 1533-position model. The record is from RNAcentral.